GCACUCAGAGGGACAGGAAUUUCCUUCUUCCUUUCCUACUUCCCCCUCAACCAAGAGUUGGGAGAGUGGGAAGAAGGCGCCAAGUGCACGCUGCUGGCGGUUGCAGCUCCCCAGAGGCCUGAGAUCCGACCACAGGACGUCCCUGCCUGGACCACGUCCACUUGAAAAUCCUGACAGAGCUGAGUCUUGUGUGUGCCUAGGCCCUGCCACAGGGACCUGGUCGGCCUGCCUGUUGAGGCGAGGUUGUGGAUGUCCCCGGACCCUAGUGGUCCCUGCUUCGGAUGAUGUAGGGCAGCAUCCACCUGAAUGCACAUCACUACCAAGGCCAAGGUUUUGGAAGGAAGCCCUUCUCCUCUCCCAUCUCAAUAUUAGACCAUGGGACCCUGGGCCACCGGGCUCAGGCCGCCGACCCUGGAGCCCUGACCAGUGAACACAGCUGCCUGUCCUUUACCCUUGUGUCCAUCCAGGAGCGGCCAUCUGCCAGGGACCUGGUCGGCCUGCCUGUUGAGGCGAGGUUGUGGAUGUCCCCGGACCCUAGUGGUCCCUGCUUCGGAUGAUGUAGGGCAGCAUCCACCUGAACGCACAUCACUACCAAGGCCAAGGUUUUGGAAGGAAGCCCUUCUCCUCUCCCAUCUCAAUAUUAGACCAUGGGACCAUGGGCCACGGGGCUCAGGCCGCCGACCCUGGAGCCCUGACCAGUGAACACAGCUGCCUGUCCUUUACCCUUGUGUCCAUCCAGGAGCGGCCUUCUGUCAGGGACCUGGUCGGCCUGCCUGUUGAGGCGAGGUUGUGGAUGUCCCCGGACCCUAGUGGUCCCUGCUUCGGAUGAUGUAGGGCAGCAUCCACCUGAACGCACAUCACUACCAAGGCCAAGGUUUUGGAAGGAAGCCCUUCUCCUCUCCCAUCUCAAUAUUAGACCAUGGGACCAUGGGCCACGGGGCUCUGGCCGCCGACCCUAGAGCCCUGACCAGUGAACACAGCUGCCUGUCCUUUACCCUUGUGUCCAUCCAGGAGCGGCCUUCUGCCAGGUGGGAAGCCCGUGCUGGGCCUAGGGUCCCAUUGAGUUGGGUGGUCUCCUCCCUUGUUUUCACACCUCCCUGUGUGCUCUUGGUUGUGGGACACCACCACCCCACCUCUCUAGCAUGUCUGGGGUUGCCCCGGCCAGUGGGGUGUCAACAGGUGUGACCCACCUGCAGGAGAGAAUGAAAGGGAAAUGAAAGGGACGGGGGAGACAUGAAAGAAGACAACAAGACAGUGUGUUCUGAUCAAGCUGCAAGUAUUAUUCUCCUGAGCAAGGCUUAUAUAGCAUGGGAGGGGGAGGGGGAGGGGGCAGGAAGGAGGGAAGGGGUGCACGAUGUGCCAUUCGUGCAGGUGAAGGGGGACGUGAAAGUCGUGAGGGUGUUGUGCUAGGUGGUAUGGUCACUGGUCAGGGCCCAUUGUUCUUUACUAUGCUACCUGACCUGCCUGACCUGUUCUUCAUCUUUGGGGUCAUCUGGUUUAGGGCAGGGGCUUGUUCUCCGGCAUAGCUAUUACUUUUCCAUGGUCCAUGUUUGGUCUCUGACACAGGGUCAUCCUGGGAGGCCCCUCUUGGCUGGCCACCUUGACCUGGAAGCUUGGGUCAGCACACCUAAGGCCAUUCUGGCAGCUGUACUGGUCACCCUGGUGGAUGGAGUCUUGUAUACUGCUGCUGGAUCUCUGAAGCAUGCUGUGUGUGUGUGUGUUUGUAUGUGUGUGUGUAUCUGUGUGUGUGUGCACACAUGUGAAGGACCUCAUGUAGAGGUUCAAGGACAACUUUCCAGAGUCAGUUCUUUCCUUCCACCCUGGGACUUGGCGCUUACACUAUGGUUGUUGGGCUAGCAUAGCAAACUCCUUUACUUGCUAAGCUUUUUGUUGCCUUGUAUUUCUUCAUUUUUGUCAGUGUUAUGCUUUGUGGGGGUCAGGGGUUUUCAAGAGGGGACAUACAGGUCAGUGAUCAUUUCUGAAUUUAGUAAUAUUUUAAAAGUCCAUCCCAAAGGUAAAUAACUUAGCUUCCGUGGUGUAGGAGACAGUUAAAAAUGCGUAUGGAAUAAAAGACUCCAAUUUUCAGUCAAGGGUCAAGUCUCCUUUAGACUAAUUUUUAUGCAGUGUUAUUCUAAGUAAAGUUUCCUCUGGGAGCAUGUUAGAAUUCUCUACUGCAGACUUACCCAGGAGUUUACAUUUGAACAUCAUUCUUCAGGGAUUCAUGUACAUACUCAGUAUUAAAUUACUGAUAUCUAAUUGUUAUAGAAUGAUAGUUGCUGAGGUCAUUUAAUGAAGAGGAGGGGUACCAUAAUUGUGACUUUCAUUGUGGCUGAUCAUCUCUUAAAGGAGAAAAACUGCUAAACCUGACUUGUAAACCCAAAUACCAUUAUUUAGAAUAAUUGUUACCGGUGAUAGAAGGCACCAUAAGUUAGUAUAAAUUCUUUUCGUUUUUGUUUAUACAGAAAAUAUUUAUACAAAGAUCAAGAUCGUUAUCCAUAAAAAGUUCACAUUUUAAGUGUAAGUUGAUCAUUAGAUCGUUUCCUAGGAUCCAUGUAAGGGUGAUGGGAAGUUUGGGGAAGAGUUUCUGUGUAAAAACCACAAGCUUAGGGCUGGUGGUGGGACUUGAGGGCCUAUGAGGUUAGGGGGCUCUGGGAACUGCAGAGAGCAGGAAGAGAAUGAAUGUGAGGUCCAAGGGAGCUGAUGGUUGGGAUGCUUGGCCCAUUGCAACUGGGCAACUUACUCCAUGAACUGGCCAAGAACGAUGGUCCUCCUAAACCUUACCUAAGCUGGUUUAUAAGGAAAAGACUUCAUACUGAGAGGUAAAGAGGAGCCAGGGAGUCUAGGGAUGACUUUGUCCUGCCACUAAAAGGUACAGGUGGGAGAAUAAUAGACUUCUGCCUCCAUCCAUAGAGCAGUAAUAGACAAUGCCUGCCAAUGCUGGGCAUUAGGCUCCUAGAACAGAGAGUUCUACAAUGCCUCCUAAGGGGACUACCUUUAUUCUGAAGCAAGAAUGAGAAGACUCAAAUGCAAGGACCCUAUUAAAAUGUAGAUCUUGCUGGCAAGCAAUCAAGAGAAGAGUAGCCACAAGAGUGCUGGUAGCAAGUGAAAACAAUGGAUAGUUCCUCUUUACAAACAAGAGCAUCAAGCAGCUGAGAAAACCCCUCUUGAUGUUAGGAGAAACCCUCAAAGACCGUCCCUGCCUUAGAAAGCAUCUGAUGGAAUUUCACUCUGGGGCUCCUGGUUUCAGAGUCAGCACUCAGGCCAUGACAGAGAAGACUAGGUAGAACGGUAUGGUGGGAGAAGAUGUGACAGACGUGUUCUGGUCUUAUCAUAUCAGAAAGCAGAAAGGGGACCAGAAUCUGCGUAGGCUCUGUCCUUCACAACCCACCCCUAGUGAUCCAUAUCCACCAUCUGGGAGACCCUGUCUUCCAAAUAUUCCCCAGCCUCCCAAAACAGCAGUACUAUAUGGGAACCAAGUUCUUAAACAUAUGAGCCUGUCGGAAGCAACUUACAUCCAAGUCACAGCAUUCACAUUUAUUUAUAUCAGUGUGGAUGCAUACAUGUUUAUUCUAUAAUUUGUGUUAUCAUUCAAUAUGUCUGUGUUCAUUUUAUUGUGUAUAUUGCUGCAAUUUGAUAGAGACCUUUUUUUCUUCCUUUGGCAUACCUCCAUCCUUGUAGGUGUGUGUGUUGGGGGGUCAAUACUUCGGAGAAUGGUAUGUCAAUGUUUGGCAUGGUAAGGGGUUGUCACACCAUUUCUAAAGUGGCAUUCUUAUUUUGCAUCUCUAUUAGAAAUGGAUGUGUGUCCCUGUUGCUCUGUGUCUUAACAAGCAACUGAUACAAUUUUUUAAAAAAGAUGACCAUUUCUUUUCAUAUUUGUGUCCUAGUACUGGAAUUCAAGACCAGAUGCUUGUAUAUGCAAGAUAUACUGUCUGAUUUUUGGUUUUGUUUGUCAAGUUGGAAAGAAGGAACAUUUGUUUAAGAACUGCCUUUAUUAGAUAGCCUUUGGGCAUGUGUGUGGGACAUCUUGACUGCUGAUUGAUAGAGGAAAGGUCUAGCCCACUGUGAGUGGUCCCUUGCCUAGGUAGGCGGCCAUAGGUUAUAUAAGAAAGGUAGCAUAGUAAGGCAGAGCAGAAGCCAGUAAGCAACAUUCAUUCAUGAUCUCUGCUUCAGAUUCGGCCUCCAGAUUUCUGUCCUCAAAUUCCUGCCUUGACUUCCCUCCACAGUGGACUGUCACCUGUAAGCCAAAUAAACCCUUUCCCAGAAUUGUUUUGGUCUGUGCUUUGUCACAGCAGUAGAGAAACAAGCUGCCACACCAUGGAACAAUUUUGCCACUGAUCUCCAUGCCCUACAUUGGCAUUUUGUUUUCUUGUUAUACAUUUUAUUCUUUAAGACAAUAUUUAAAUUUAUAUUUUGAUCAUGAUUUCCCCAACCCACAAGUCCUUCCAAAUCCUCUGCCCUUCCCUACCCAUCCAAAUUCAAGUUCUUUCUCAAAACAAACAAACAAACAAAUAAAUAAAUAAACAAAAACCAAUUCUUAGAAAGUAUGUAGUUAUAGUUGGUUUCAAUUUUAUGGCUUUAUUUUGAGUAGAUAUUAAUUUUAGAUUGCCACUUUUUCUAACAUUUAUGCUGUAUUUUAUCAUCAUUAUUUCCACAAGUAUCUUAUUUUUAAACUUUUGUUUCAGUAGAGCUAAAGCUUACCAGAAAUUUGCUCUUAUUUAUAAAUCCCUUUAAUUUGUUAAAUGAAUCCUCUUGACGUACUUUAAGAAGGAAUUACUUUUUAAUGAGAGACAGAAAGUGAGUGGAUCAGGAUGGGAGGAAGAUUGGGAGAAAAAUGGGAGAAGUAGAGGGAGGGGAAAUCUUAAUCAGGAUAUAUUAUAUGAAAAAAAUGGUUUCAAUAAAAUAAAGGAAGGAAAAAAAGAAAAAAAAGACAACACACACAGAUGGGCUGAAACACUGAAGAGGCAAUGUUCCUAAAAUGAAUCCUAAUCACUUUAACGUCUGUCUCCAGUACUGUAUGGAUUCUUAAAAAUGGAUUGUAGUUGUAAGUUGGCCUUUCCCAGUGGAUCCUUCGGCAUUUAACUACUUCAGAAAAGAAAACAGAGGUACCUGUCUGAAACUGAAGGUCCCUUAGGAAGCUUGAGUUCAAAGUGAUUGCUACUGUGAUGGCGCUGACAUAUGGAACUGCAGAUAGGGAAACUUCCCUCGCUCCUCCCUCCUGCUCUUGCCCCCUCACCUGGCCCUUCUGUCCUCAUGAUGUAUCCCAGAAUGUUACAGAGCAGCAAGGCAGCCCUACAGCAGCACCGGAUUGGGAGGUCAAGUCUCCUAUCCUCCAAGUCUAUGUGUCAAAUAAGCUUCUGCUCAAGUAGGUUUCUGUGUGUCUGUUUGUUCUUUGGGGACGCUUUCCCCUUUGUUUGUUGGUCCCAUUCUGAUGUGUUAGUUGUUUUAGUUUAUCUUAUUAUCCCUUAGACGUGUUUGUUUUCUAAUGAGAGACAAGAAGGGGGUGGAUUGGAUGAGAGAGAGGUGGGAAGAAACUGGGAGGAUUAUGUAGACGAAUUUCUAAGUGGUCUUAUUAAAUAAAGAACAUGGAGCCAAAUACAGGGGUGAAAGCCUUAGGGAUCAGGCAAAUAGUGAGAGUCACCAACCACCUUACCUCACCAGAUCUGUAGCUUCCAAAAUGCCAUGACUUCCUGUCUACCCAAGCUUUUAUUGCCUUGCUGUUCUGCCCUCUCAUUGACUCAGCCCAGCUAGCUCACUUCUUUGUUACUGCCUAUCUGUACAGACCUCCAGGGUCUCUAUGGUUGGUCCUGGGAUUAAAGACCUGUGCCACCACGCUUGGCUCUGUUCCCUAGCGUGACCUUGAACACACAGAGACCCUGCCUGCCAAGUGAUCAGGUUAAGGGCCUGUGCUACCACUGCCUGAUUUUUGUGUUUACUUAAAACGGCUUGCUAUUUCCUGUGAUCUCCAGGCAAACUUUAUUUGUUAGCAUACAAAAAAAAAAUCACCACUUUUCAGCACAAAUAAAAUAUCACUACAGAAUUAGAGGGAGGAGAAACCUUAAUCAGGAUAUAUUAUGUGAGAAAAAGAUCCAAUUUCAAUAAAUGGGAAAUAUAUACAUAUAUUUAUGGGGAAAAAGAAGGAUAUUCUUUGGAUUCAUGUAUAACUAAAAAUAUUUGACUUUCUAUUUAAGCAAACUUGCAACAUAUUGUCUUUUAAAGAUUGCCUUGUUCAUUAAUGAUUAGUGCUUCUAGACGAAGAUUUGAGGUCAAUAUGAUCUCCUUCUAAGUGUAUGAUUUUGGUCGGUUUCAAUAUAUAUCCUUUUGUGCCUUGUAAGUCAAUACAUUUAUUAUUCAGUAUUAUUUUUCAUAGCGUGCCAUGUGUUUCUUGCUUUCCUUCUCUUUAGAAAUUCUCUCUUCACUAUUUCAUAAUUUCAGCUACCCUCUGAUAUUUAUUAAACUUAGGAAGUCUUCACUGGAUGUGUUGCAUACUCUAGACUUGUUAUGGACAAGGCUAAGAUAGCAAUCUAUUUGCCCUUUUGUCUAUGCUUGUUCUCUGGAGCCAGAGAUAUCUAUAUAUCUUCUCUUGUUGCAGGAUAUUCGAUCACACUGUGACACUCUUAGACUAUGUUAAUAAUGUUAACGUUGAAUGAGGGGGUGGAACCAGUGGCUAACUGACUGGAAUUAGCCAUAGAGAAGCCAGGAAUACAGAUAGGGAAGUUGGACCGGAAGGAGGAGGGAGGGACUUGGAAUUCAAGAGCUCUCUUUGACCUGGGACAUGUGGAUAGAAGGUGUGCUGGCUGGGUCUCCAGUAAGAAAGGGAAGGUCAGCUGGUCACUCCUCCUGUGCUUCUUGAUCCAUAAGGUUUUGACCCAAUAUCUGAUCCUCGAGUUUUCAUUGGUAAUGGACCCAUUUAGCAAAACACAACAUUCUCUUAUCAUUUCAAGCUUUUUUGUGCUUAGGGUAAUAACAUUUUUUAUAAUCAUUUAUUCAUUCAACAAAAUAUCAUGAGUACUCACUAUGUGUUCUACUAUCUUUAAAAUGUUGAGGUUAUUUAAAUCAUCUUAAUUUUCCACAAAGUAUAUACUUUUCCCUAUUUACCUGGUCUUUACUGGUAUGUUUAAACAUUUUGUUUUCAUUAAGCUAUAUUUAACUACAUUUUAUGUUUCAUAUCUAAUAAUUCUAAUGUAUAAUGAUCCAGUAGCCGAAAUUUUCUGUUGUCUUUUUCAGUCUUGUUUCCUAAAUUAGGUAAGAGUUUUUGUAUCUAUAACAUGAUCAUUUCUCAGAAAAAAUUCAAUGGAAUGUUUGAGGGCUGAGAGAAAGGACAUUCCUCUAAAAGAUUUGAGUUUUCUUCUGUGAGUCUGGAAUCGAUAUGAAUUAAAUUCUUGGUUUGAGGUUUUGUGGCACAAUUCAGUUAGCGUGAAUUAGACUUACUCAUAUGUACCUCUUUGUGGUUAUGAAUUCUCUGAGGAUUUAUCUUUGUACUCACUAACAAGGUUGAUACUAGCAAAUUUACCUGUAGUUCUCCGGCUUCUCUCUUGGGGUUGGAUUGUCCAUGAGGGUUUAAUUCUUAGUUUGCCUUAUGCUGGAGUAAAUUUCCCUGUCCUAGUCUUAAGGGGAUCUUCGGUUGGGCUUUUAAGCCCUUGAAUUUCCCCAUGAUUCUGAGAGUUAACUCAAUCUCACCCAAUUCUCUUGAAAGCAAGUCAAUUGAAGUUCUCAGAGAUUUGACCAUCAUUCAUUGCUUAGCCUAAAUAUUCUUUUAAUUGUUUUGUCAGUAAGCAGGUAUCUGUGGAGACUUAAGGCUAUUUUUUAGUAUUUGUAUGUUUUGCAUUUGAAGGUUUAUCCAGGUCAUCUAAUUUUCUAUCAAGACCAUUGUUCUUUUUUAAUCCAUCAGGGCACUGUUGGUUUUAGACUGCAUCACCAUAAGAUUCACCUUGUUUGAAGCCUCACUCUGAAAUAUCCAUCCUUAAUAUUUUCCUCAAGAAAGAUCUCAUUAAAGGGAGAUUGAUUUAACUCAUCCUGUUCUCUGACAAGAGUAAUUCAAUAGACACAAGUACAUUAAUAAGUUUUGAUUUAUUGGCUAAAUAUCAAAUUACCUGACAUUGUUAUUCAGCAAACAGGAGUAUCAUAAACUCAUAUCAGUAAAAGUUUUUAUAGACUCAAAAGAAGACAAAUAUCGGAUUUCAGAAGCUUUCUGUUUGUAGCGACGCCCUCAUUACUACCCGUAUGUCCGAGUGAGGGGCUGAGGAUUAAAAAGAGAGACAAGACAGUGGGUCAUUCCUCUCAGUAGAAUGCCCCCUAUUGAAGGAGGAAGGAGGCCUUAAAUACAGACUUACAGUACAGUAGAAGAACCUGGGAGGGUAAAAGUAGGCUACAGGAGUUUUACAUUCUAGCAUUCCACCAAUAUGCAGGAUACGCAAACAAGCAACAUUUGGUAAGCUGCUUAGGAGGAAUGAAACCGGAAGGGAAUUAGCAUAGGGAGGACAUCUGAUCAAGGUCAGCGAGCAAGGCAACAGCUCCCCAAAAACGGGGGCCAGGGCCCAACAUCUGAUUACUGUGUUCCAAAUUAAUUCCUGACUUUUCUAGGUAAAAUGAAACAAAACAAAACA
Long non-coding RNA from Peromyscus californicus insignis, 8603 nucleotides. RefSeq lists it as uncharacterized. The transcript has 5 exons. The record is from RefSeq and is a predicted model, not a curated record. NCBI's taxonomy places the organism in Eukaryota, Metazoa, Chordata, Mammalia, Rodentia, Cricetidae.